Molecule: long non-coding RNA, 623 nt
Filed under: Equus asinus (donkey)
Lineage: Eukaryota; Metazoa; Chordata; Mammalia; Perissodactyla; Equidae
Description: lncRNA (ENSEASG00005026853.1)
Source: RNAcentral
AGGGAGGAUUCAAGAGUGACUGGUUGGUGAGGAAGUGGAGACAGCAUGUAGAGAAAGAAUAUUUCAAAUUUUCUAUGAGAGGAAACGAAAGAAAGGUAGCUUGAAGAGUAUAAAAGUCAGGAAAAAGUUUUUAACAGAAAUGUCUCAUGAGCACAAGACAGAAAGAAUAUUCAAAAGAAACUUCAAGAAUCUUAGCUUCUGAAGGACAUAUUUUUAGUGCAUAUACUGACUCUCACAUUUACCGAACCCCAGCUGCAGCAUUUGUCUCAGAGAACUGCUCUGCUCCUCCCAUUUAUCCCAUUAUUACUUUCAGUUGUGAGAUGAAAAUGUUCUCUUUGAAAUAAAUUGGCUCCUCUAAAUAAAGAAAUGUCCAAAUAGCUACUUCAGUCUCUUAUUUAAUCUCAAGUUAAAUCAAAGAAAAGAUUUCAGCAUAUAGAAACUCAUUCAAACCUGAAGUGACCUUGGUGUUUUUCUCAAUACAUCAAUCAUUGUUAUCACAUUUCUUAGUUUUCUUUUUUUUCAAUUUCUUUUUUUUUUAAAGAUUUUAUUUUUUUCCUUUUUCUCCCCAAAGCCCCCCAGUACGUAGUUGUACAUCCUCCAUUGUGGGUCCUUCUAGUUGUGGC